Molecule: ribosomal RNA, 560 nt
Filed under: uncultured bacterium
Lineage: Bacteria
Description: bacterial SSU rRNA
Rfam family: Bacterial small subunit ribosomal RNA
Source: RNAcentral
CCUACGGGAGGCAGCAGUGGGGAAUCUUGCGCAAUGGGCGAAAGCCUGACGCAGCCAUGCCGCGUGAAUGAUGAAGGUCUUAGGAUUGUAAAAUUCUUUCACCGGGGACGAUAAUGACGGUACCCGGAGAAGAAGCCCCGGCUAACUUCGUGCCAGCAGCCGCGGUAAUACGAAGGGGGCUAGCGUUGCUCGGAAUUACUGGGCGUAAAGGGAGCGUAGGCGGAUAGUUUAGUCAGAGGUGAAAGCCCAGGGCUCAACCUUGGAAUUGCCUUUGAUACUGGCUAUCUUGAGUACGGAAGAGGUAUGUGGAACUCCGAGUGUAGAGGUGAAAUUCGUAGAUAUUCGGAAGAACACCAGUGGCGAAGGCGACAUACUGGUCCGUUACUGACGCUGAGGCUCGAAAGCGUGGGGAGCAAACAGGAUUAGAUACCCUGGUAGUCCACGCUGUAAACGAUGAGUGCUAGUUGUCGGCAUGCAUGCAUGUCGGUGACGCAGCUAACGCAUUAAGCACUCCGCCUGGGGAGUACGGUCGCAAGAUUAAAACUCAAAUGAAUUGACGG